GGGGGUGUGACUUGGUUGGUAGAGUGAUUGCCUUGCAUGCAUGAAACCCUGGGUUCAAUCCCUACAAACCCCA
Molecule: transfer RNA, 73 nt
Filed under: Neotoma lepida (desert woodrat)
Lineage: Eukaryota; Metazoa; Chordata; Mammalia; Rodentia; Cricetidae
Rfam family: tRNA
About the family: Transfer RNA (tRNA) molecules are approximately 80 nucleotides in length.
Source: Rfam by way of RNAcentral